RNAcentral lists this long non-coding RNA (895 nucleotides) under Pan troglodytes (chimpanzee). Its description in RNAcentral is "lincRNA". The record is from RNAcentral. Lineage: Eukaryota; Metazoa; Chordata; Mammalia; Primates; Hominidae.
GAGGAGCAAGACAUGAGGUUAAUAAUUAUCAAAUAUAUGGCAAUGCUGGACUUUAGCUGAUGAUCGUGCUUCUGGAAAACAACAAAAAUUGAGAUAUCUUUUCACCACUUUGUGUGUCCAAGGACCACCUACUUUUUACAUGUGACAAGAACUACCCACCUCCACUCUUCAGGAUAGAACAUGCUGAAGAAAAGAGUUGCAAUGAGAAAAUAUAUGGGAACAAAAUACCUGUGCAAUGCAGAGGUCUGCAUAACUGAACCACUCAGAGGAAAAAAUUUCCCUCCCAGGCUGGAGUACAAUGGCGCGACCUCGGCUCACUGCAACUUCCAUCUCCCAGGUUCAAGCAAUUCUCCCACCUCAGCCUCCUUACUAGCUGGGAUUACAAGCGCCUGACACCAGGCCCAGCUAUUUUUGUAUUUUUAGUAGAGACGGGGUUUCACCAUUUUGACUAGGCUGGUCUCAAACUCCUGACCUCAGUCCAUCGGUCCACCUCGGCCUCCCAAAGUGCUGGGAUUGCAGGCAUGAGCCACCGCUCCUGGCCUCAAGUUUAAUUCUUAAGUGAGUCAAUCAGUUAUAGUCCUGUUCAAAGCUUUCAGUGCACCUAAAAUUUCAUCCAACAUCUAUUAUCUUUCAUCAUAUGCUAAAACAGCUUGAAGAUGUAUAUGAUUUUAUAAAAAUAAUCUAUAAAACAAAACAACCAAAUUAAGGGUUUACAUUUUAAAGCACCAAUAUUCACCUAUAGUUGGUGAAUGUACAGUUAGAAUGAAAAAAAUAGAAUUUUGGUGAAUUCUGAAAUGGUUCCACCCUAUCCAAACAAGUUGUAUUAAUGCAUGUAUACAUUUCUUAACAGAUAAAGUACUCGAAUUGCUACAAAUACAGAAGCUUACAAGUUUCC